CUCCUCAGGUGUUAACCCUUACAUGACUACUUGUGUUUUUGAUUUGAAGGAUUUUCUGGUGAAGAAGACACCAUGUGUCCACAUUCUUACAUUUACUCUGGAGGUGUCGGGCAGCAGAUGGGAGGUGAUGGAACUGUGUGGUAGUGUAGGCGGUGACAUGACAGGCUGUCAGGCCCUAAUGCAGGCUAACAUCUGGAGGUUGUUGGCCAUGUCACUUCUUGCCUGCCGGCGGGGUCCUCUAGCCUGGGGCCAGAAGCCAUCCCGAGGGACGUACACUCGGGGCAAAACCUGGGCCUCUGAGAUGGAGAGCUGCAGAAAUGAUGGUGUACGUACCGCAGGAGUCACUCUGCCUCGUACCCUGAAGUGAAGCCAAAAAAUGAAGAUCUAGUUGCCUUCCUGAGCUACCUGCAAAGCAUUGUGGGAACCCUGCAUGGCCAGUGGCAGAGAAGAGGAUAAUCAUGGUCCAUCACAACUGGUUAUGUGACAGUCACCUUGAACAGCAAAUAUAACCUCCAACAAAUAUUUACUUUCUUAUUAUCCUUAUACUCACUAACUUUGAUAUUUCAAAAUAGAAA
Cheilinus undulatus (humphead wrasse) is the source of this 575-nucleotide long non-coding RNA. RefSeq lists it as uncharacterized. Lineage: Eukaryota; Metazoa; Chordata; Actinopteri; Labriformes; Labridae. The transcript has 4 exons. The record is from RefSeq and is a predicted model, not a curated record.